GGCGCACGGGUGCGUAACACGUGGGGAAUACUGCCCUUCGGUUCGGAAUAACAGUUAGAAAUGACUGCUAAUACCGGAUGAUGACGUAAGUCCAAAGAUUUAUUCGCCGAAGGAUGAGCCCGCGUAGGAUUAGGUAGUUGUAGGGUAAUGGCCUACCAAGCCGACGAUCCUUAGCUGGUCUGAGAGGAUGAUCAGCCACACUGGGACUGAGACACGGCCCAGACUCCUACGGGAGGCAGCAGUGGGGAAUAUUGGACAAUGAGCGAAAGCCUGAUCCAGCAAUGCCGCGUGAGUGAUGAAGGCCUUAGGGUUGUAAAGCUCUUUUACCAGGGAUGAUAAUGACAGUACCUGGAGAAUAAGCUCCGGCUAACUCCGUG
Molecule: ribosomal RNA, 377 nt
Filed under: uncultured bacterium
Lineage: Bacteria
Description: bacterial SSU rRNA
Rfam family: Bacterial small subunit ribosomal RNA
Source: RNAcentral